RNAcentral lists this ribosomal RNA (459 nucleotides) under uncultured bacterium. RNAcentral describes it as "partial 16S ribosomal RNA". It matches the Rfam family "Bacterial small subunit ribosomal RNA", at positions 338 to 795 of the family's 1533-position model. The record is from RNAcentral.
CCUACGGGAGGCUGCAGUGAGGAAUAUUGGUCAAUGGCCGGAAGGCUGAACCAGCCAUGCCGCGUGAAGGUCAGUGCCCUAUGGGUUGUAAACUUCUUUUAUAAAGGAAUAAAACGAGGCACGUGUGCCUUUUUGCAUGUACUUUAUGAAUAAGGAUCGGCUAACUCCGUGCCAGCAGCCGCGGUAAUACGGAGGAUCCGAGCGUUAUCCGGAUUUAUUGGGUUUAAAGGGAGCGUAGAUGGGUUGUUAAGUCAGUUGUGAAAGUUUGCGGCUCAACCGUAAAAUUGCAAUUGAUACUGGCAGUCUUGAGGACAGUUGAGGUAGGCGGAAUUCGUGGUGUAGCGGUGAAAUGCUUAGAUAUCACGAAGAACCCCGAUUGCGAAGGCAGCUUACUAAACUGUGACUGACAUUGAUGCUCGAAAGUGUGGGUAUCAAACAGGAUUAGAUACCCCAGUAGUC